Molecule: long non-coding RNA, 425 nt
Organism: Rhineura floridana
Lineage: Eukaryota; Metazoa; Chordata; Lepidosauria; Squamata; Rhineuridae
Exons: 3
Source: RefSeq, a predicted model, not a curated record
CGUCAAACAGCUUCCUCCACAAACAUCCGCCUGCUUCAGCCUUGCGGCAUCCGCCAGCUUCCGAAUGCGAAAUCCACUGGCUUCCAUACACACUGCCAGCUUCCGCUAGGUCCAUCGCUAGACAUCAACCAGCUUCAGAGAUGACCAGAGGAGAUGCGAGAAGGAAAGACAUCAGCUGGAAAAUCUGGGGGAAGCUGAGCUGCACUGGAUGCUGUUGGGAAGUAAGGAGCAGAUGGUGUCUCACCCUCCUGACCAGGGAGAAGCCCUGAGAGCUGGCAAGGCAUGAUUUGAACCCAGGUCCUCUUCAAAGCCUAGAUGCUGAGCUCUUAGAUUGCACUGAGGCUCUUCAAAGUUGUCAUUGAUGGAUCCUGAAGCAAGUUCCUCACCAGCCCCAGCAGGCAUAUUACAAAUAAAAGAGCUUUCCA